AUUGAACGCUGGCGGCAUGCUUUACACAUGCAAGUCGAACGGCAGCGCGGGCUUCGGCCUGGCGGCGCGUGGCGAACGGGUGAGUAAUACAUCUGAACGUUCCCAGUAGUGGGGGAUAGCUCGGCGAAAGCCGGAUUAAUACCGCAUACGACCUGAGGGUGAAAGCGGGGGAUCUUCGGACCUCGCGCUCUUGGAGCGGCCGAUGGCAGAUUAGCUAGUUGGUGGGGUAAAGGCCUACCAAGGCGACGAUCUGUAGCUGGUCUGAGAGGACGACCAGCCACACUGGGACUGAGACACGGCCCAGACUCCUACGGGAGGCAGCAGUGGGGAAUUUUGGACAAUGGGCGAAAGCCUGAUCCAGCAAUGCCGCGUGUGUGAUGAAGGCCUUCGGGUUGUAAAGCACUUUUGGCGGGAACGAAAAGGACUGUGCCAAUACCACGGUUCGAUGACGGUACCCGCAGAAUAAGCACCGGCUAACUACGUG
This 484-nucleotide ribosomal RNA is filed under the name uncultured bacterium. RNAcentral's name for it is "partial 16S ribosomal RNA". It matches the Rfam family "Bacterial small subunit ribosomal RNA", at positions 30 to 507 of the family's 1533-position model. The record is from RNAcentral.